Molecule: ribosomal RNA, 2927 nt
Filed under: Klebsiella oxytoca
Lineage: Bacteria; Pseudomonadati; Pseudomonadota; Gammaproteobacteria; Enterobacterales; Enterobacteriaceae
Description: 23S ribosomal RNA
Rfam family: Bacterial large subunit ribosomal RNA
Source: RNAcentral
GGGUUGUGAGGUUAAGCGACUAAGCGUACACGGUGGAUGCCCUGGCAGUCAGAGGCGAUGAAGGACGUGCUAAUCUGCGAAAAGCGUCGGUAAGGUGAUAUGAACCGUUACAGCCGGCGAUGUCCGAAUGGGGAAACCCAGUGCAAUUCGUUGCACUAUCGUUUGAUGAAUACAUAGUCAAACGAGGCGAACCGGGGGAACUGAAACAUCUAAGUACCCCGAGGAAAAGAAAUCAACCGAGAUUCCCCCAGUAGCGGCGAGCGAACGGGGAGCAGCCCGGAGUCUGAAUCAGCUUGUGUGUUAGUGGAAGCGUCUGGAAAGUCGCAGGGUACAGGGUGAUACUCCCGUACACUAAAACACACAGGUUGUGAACUCGAAGAGUAGGGCGGGACACGUGGUAUCCUGUCUGAAUAUGGGGGGACCAUCCUCCAAGGCUAAAUACUCCUGACUGACCGAUAGUGAACCAGUACCGUGAGGGAAAGGCGAAAAGAACCCCGGCGAGGGGAGUGAAAAAGAACCUGAAACCGUGUACGUACAAGCAGUAGGAGCCCACUAGUUGGGUGACUGCGUACCUUUUGUAUAAUGGGUCAGCGACUUAUAUUCUGUAGCAAGGUUAACCGUAUAGGGGAGCCGCAGGGAAACCGAGUCUUAACUGGGCGUUAAGUUGCAGGGUAUAGACCCGAAACCCGGUGAUCUAGCCAUGGGCAGGUUGAAGGUUGGGUAACACUAACUGGAGGACCGAACCGACUAAUGUUGAAAAAUUAGCGGAUGACUUGUGGCUGGGGGUGAAAGGCCAAUCAAACCGGGAGAUAGCUGGUUCUCCCCGAAAGCUAUUUAGGUAGCGCCUCGUGAAUUCAUCUUCGGGGGUAGAGCACUGUUUCGGCUAGGGGGUCAUCCCGACUUACCAACCCGAUGCAAACUACGAAUACCGAAGAAUGUUAUCACGGGAGACACACGGCGGGUGCUAACGUCCGUCGUGAAGAGGGAAACAACCCAGACCGCCAGCUAAGGUCCCAAAGUCAUGGUUAAGUGGGAAACGAUGUGGGAAGGCCCAGACAGCCAGGAUGUUGGCUUAGAAGCAGCCAUCAUUUAAAGAAAGCGUAAUAGCUCACUGGUCGAGUCGGCCUGCGCGGAAGAUGUAACGGGGCUAAACCAUGCACCGAAGCUGCGGCAGCGACACUAUGUGUUGUUGGGUAGGGGAGCGUUCUGUAAGCCGUUGAAGGUGGCCUGUGAGGGUUGCUGGAGGUAUCAGAAGUGCGAAUGCUGACAUAAGUAACGAUAAUGCGGGUGAAAAACCCGCACGCCGGAAGACCAAGGGUUCCUGUCCAACGUUAAUCGGGGCAGGGUGAGUCGACCCCUAAGGCGAGGCCGAAAGGCGUAGUCGAUGGGAAACAGGUUAAUAUUCCUGUACUUGGUGUUACUGCGAAGGGGGGACGGAGAAGGCUAUGUUGGCCGGGCGACGGUUGUCCCGGUUUAAGCAUGUAGGCGGAUGUUCCAGGUAAAUCCGGAGCGUCACUAACGCUGAGGUGUGAUGACGAGGCACUACGGUGCUGAAGUGACAAAUGCCCUGCUUCCAGGAAAAGCCUCUAAGCAUCAGGUAACAUCAAAUCGUACCCCAAACCGACACAGGUGGUCAGGUAGAGAAUACCAAGGCGCUUGAGAGAACUCGGGUGAAGGAACUAGGCAAAAUGGUGCCGUAACUUCGGGAGAAGGCACGCUGAUGGUAGGUGAAGUGACUUGCUCAUGGAGCUGAAAUCAGUCGAAGAUACCAGCUGGCUGCAACUGUUUAUUAAAAACACAGCACUGUGCAAACACGAAAGUGGACGUAUACGGUGUGACGCCUGCCCGGUGCCGGAAGGUUAAUUGAUGGGGUUAUCCUCGCGGAGAAGCUCUUGAUCGAAGCCCCGGUAAACGGCGGCCGUAACUAUAACGGUCCUAAGGUAGCGAAAUUCCUUGUCGGGUAAGUUCCGACCUGCACGAAUGGCGUAAUGAUGGCCAGGCUGUCUCCACCCGAGACUCAGUGAAAUUGAACUCGCUGUGAAGAUGCAGUGUACCCGCGGCAAGACGGAAAGACCCCGUGAACCUUUACUAUAGCUUGACACUGAACACUGGUCCUUGAUGUGUAGGAUAGGUGGGAGGCUUUGAAGUGUGGACGCCAGUCUGCAUGGAGCCAUCCUUGAAAUACCACCCUUUAAUGGCUGGUGUUCUAACGUGGGCCCGUGAUCCGGGUUGCGGACAGUGUCUGGUGGGUAGUUUGACUGGGGCGGUCUCCUCCUAAAGAGUAACGGAGGAGCACGAAGGUCAGCUAAUCCUGGUCGGACAUCAGGAGGUUAGUGCAAUGGCAUAAGCUGGCUUGACUGCGAGCGUGACGGCGCGAGCAGGUGCGAAAGCAGGUCAUAGUGAUCCGGUGGUUCUGAAUGGAAGGGCCAUCGCUCAACGGAUAAAAGGUACUCCGGGGAUAACAGGCUGAUACCGCCCAAGAGUUCAUAUCGACGGCGGUGUUUGGCACCUCGAUGUCGGCUCAUCACAUCCUGGGGCUGAAGUAGGUCCCAAGGGUAUGGCUGUUCGCCAUUUAAAGUGGUACGCGAGCUGGGUUUAGAACGUCGUGAGACAGUUCGGUCCCUAUCUGCCGUGGGCGCUGGAGAAUUGAGGGGGGCUGCUCCUAGUACGAGAGGACCGGAGUGGACGCAUCACUGGUGUUCGGGUUGUCAUGCCAAUGGCAUUGCCCGGUAGCUAAAUGCGGAAGAGAUAAGUGCUGAAAGCAUCUAAGCACGAAACUUGCCCCGAGAUGAGUUCUCCCUGACUCCUUGAGAGUCCUGAAGGAACGUUGAAGACGACGACGUUGAUAGGCCGGGUGUGUAAGCGCAGCGAUGCGUUGAGCUAACCGGUACUAAUGAACCGUGAGGCUUAACCUUACAACGCCGAAG